AUUACGAUUCCACUCCGCUUCUAACUUACGCUGAGUUAUGUCGCCAACUGAGUUUUAUUACGCGCGCCUAAGUUGAUAUAAGAAUAAAAUAAAAGCCAUUUCGGCGGGAAGACAGCGAUGGUUCAAUAGAGCGGCAGGUGGUCAAAAGUGAGAAGUUACCGGCCAGCUAAUGACUUACGUCACUAUACAAGUUUGGUUUCAAUUACACCGGCACGAAUUGGUACUAAUAAAACGACUUCAUUGUUUCUAUAAACAUAACUAUAUAAGGCUGCGAUGCGAACGUAUUCGUGUAGGCUUUCUAUCAGACUGACUCGAGUAGAGACUUGGCGGUGGCGCGGGGGCGGGAAACCCGAGUUUACCUUCCAGAUAACACGAGAAAAUGAUUUGAACAUUCCAAGCUACUUGUGCUCAACCAGUCACCGAUUGAAGGCUAUGUUUGUAAGGUAUUUGUAUUUGUUACAACAUAUGUAGGUAUAUUGAAAAAAAUAAAGUUAUGUUAUGGAACGAGAAAUAAUUGAAUUUUAAUAGAAACCUGUUGAAACUUUUAUUGCAAUUGAAUUUUAAUAUACUAGAUUUGAUGUUAUAAUAAAUUGAUAUAAUAUUAGACCAUUAUUCAGAUGGAUGGUUUAUUCAAACGAGGAGUUGAAAGACUUCAACAACACGUAGAGAUAGAAACCCAGCCUAAAUUUUCAAUAUAUGUCAACAGAAAUACUUCCGAGAGUUGGAAUUAUGGAGCCCUAUCUUUGUAGAUACAUAAAUAGUUUUAUAUUUAAUUAACUCAAACGUAAUAAAAAAAUUAUAGAUCGUAUUUUA
Long non-coding RNA from Danaus plexippus (monarch butterfly), 813 nucleotides. RefSeq lists it as uncharacterized. The transcript has 2 exons. The record is from RefSeq and is a predicted model, not a curated record. NCBI's taxonomy places the organism in Eukaryota, Metazoa, Arthropoda, Insecta, Lepidoptera, Nymphalidae.